RNAcentral lists this transfer RNA (70 nucleotides) under Sphoeroides pachygaster (blunthead puffer). Its description in RNAcentral is "tRNA-Met". It matches the Rfam family "tRNA". From Rfam's summary of the family: Transfer RNA (tRNA) molecules are approximately 80 nucleotides in length. Their secondary structure includes four short double-helical elements and three loops (D, anti-codon, and T loops). Lineage: Eukaryota; Metazoa; Chordata; Actinopteri; Tetraodontiformes; Tetraodontidae. The record is from RNAcentral.
AGUAAAGUCAGCUAAUUUAAGCUUUUAGGCCCAUACCCUAAAAAUGUUGGUUAAAACCCUUCCCUUACUA